RNAcentral lists this long non-coding RNA (1441 nucleotides) under Salmo salar (Atlantic salmon). Its description in RNAcentral is "lncRNA (ENSSSAG00000120283.1)". Lineage: Eukaryota; Metazoa; Chordata; Actinopteri; Salmoniformes; Salmonidae. The record is from RNAcentral.
GCCUGUCCUCUCAGGGCCCAGACACUGCCGACAACAACAAAAUAGUCACCUGGGAUAUCGUCAUCGAACAGCCCAAGCCCAGGCCUCAUUCCAAUGCAAAUUCAAUGCACCCGGACUCCUACAUGCCCUGCCACAUCGAUGGACAUGGGCUAUUUAAACAUUGCUGUCUCGACUCGUGAAGCGCCCGGCCCUCUACCUUACGAGAAAAAACAAAACCUCUACUAAAUCAGCUGUGAUAGCAGUGGUGUGGUUCACACUGGGCUACCUCUCCCCUUUUUACAAUGGCUCCCUCUCUACAAUGGCUACCUCUCCCCUUUUUACAAUGGCUACCUCUCUACAAUGGCUACCUCUCCCCUUUUUACAAUGGCUACCUCUCUACAAUGGCUCCCUCUCUACAAUGGCUCCCUCUCUACAAUGGCUCCCUCUCAACAAUGGCUCCCUCUCUACAAUGGCUCCCUCUCUACAAUGGCUCCCUCUCUACAAUGGCUCCCUCUCAACAAUGGCUCCCUCUCUACAAUGGCUCCCUCUCUACAAUGGCUCCCUCUCUACAAUGGCUCCCUCUCUACAAUGGCUACCUCUCCACAAUGGUACCAGGAGAUUAUUCAAGGGCCUAUGGUAGUGUCAGUGUGUCCCAGGAGGAGGUGACUAACGUCAGGACAUGUGGUUGGCAGGAUGCAGGGGCACACUGUGCUCCACGGUGCUCCACGCUGCUCCUGUCCAGCUGUGCCGGGGACCACAUCCCCCCCGAAGAGGAACUAAUUGUGAGGGUUAUCGAUUGCCACCACAUAUCUCGGCCUGUCCCUGGGUAAAUACGAUUGACGAACUUGUCACAUUGUCAUCAGGCCACAUUUUUUGACAAUGUGUCUCAAGGAGUGUUAACAUGGUCCAAGUUCACAGUGGGACAUCACAGAGAAUGGUGGCUGUGACUUUAUAGCACAGCAAAGGAAUACCUAUCAAUAAGAGUAGAACUACAGAAUCUGUAGUUGUGUUUCCUGUGUCACACCCUGAUCUGUUUCACCUGUCUUUAUGAUUGUCUCUAUCCCCCUCCAGGUGUCACCCAUCUUCCCCAUUAUCCCUUGUGUAUUUAUACCUCUGUUCUCUGUUUGUCUGUUGACAGUUCGUUUUGAUUCGGCAAGCCUUUCAGCGUUUUUCCCUCUGUUCCUGUCUCUUGAUUGUUUCUGUUUUCUAGUUUUCCCGGUUUUUACCUUUUCUGCCUACCCUGAGCCUGCCUGCCAUCCUAUACUUUUGCCCCACCUAUCUGGAUUACUGACCUCUGCCUACCCUGACCCUGAGCCUGCCUACCAUCCUGUACCUUGCCCCACCUAUCUGGAUUACUGACCUCUGCCUACCCUGACCCUGAGCCUGCCUACCAUCCUGUACCUUGCCCCACCUAUCUGGAUUACUGACCCCUGCCUGCCUUGUCCUGUCUAUUGCCUGCCCC